Molecule: non-coding RNA, 28 nt
Filed under: Homo sapiens (human)
Lineage: Eukaryota; Metazoa; Chordata; Mammalia; Primates; Hominidae
Source: RNAcentral
UAACCCAAUGGGAUUGGUGUCCUUGUUA